AGUGAACGCUGGCGGUAGGCCUAACACAUGCAAGUCGAACGGCAGCACAGUAAGAGCUUGCUCUUACGGGUGGCGAGUGGCGGACGGGUGAGGAAUACAUCGGAAUCUACUUUUUCGUGGGGGAUAACGUAGGGAAACUUACGCUAAUACCGCAUACGACCUACGGGUGAAAGCAUGGGAUCUUCGGACCUUGCGCGAUUGAAUGAGCCGAUGUCGGAGUAGCUAGUUGGCGGGGUAAAGGCCCACCAAGGCGACGAUCCGUAGCUGGUCUGAGAGGAUGAUCGGCCACACUGGAACUGAGACACGGUCCAGACUCCUACGGGAGGCAGCAGUGGGGAAUAUUGGACAAGGGGCGCAAGCCUGAUCCAGCCAUACCGCGUGGGUGAAGAAGGCCUUCGGGUUGUAAAGCCCUUUUGUUGGGAAAGAAAAGCAGCAGGUUAAUACCCCGCUGUUCUGACGGUACCCAAAGAAUAAGCACCGGCUAACUUCGUG
Molecule: ribosomal RNA, 492 nt
Filed under: uncultured bacterium
Lineage: Bacteria
Description: partial 16S ribosomal RNA
Rfam family: Bacterial small subunit ribosomal RNA
Source: RNAcentral